RNAcentral lists this transfer RNA (72 nucleotides) under Saprospiraceae bacterium. RNAcentral describes it as "tRNA-Arg". It matches the Rfam family "tRNA". Rfam says of the family: Transfer RNA (tRNA) molecules are approximately 80 nucleotides in length. Their secondary structure includes four short double-helical elements and three loops (D, anti-codon, and T loops). The record is from RNAcentral. Lineage: Bacteria; Pseudomonadati; Bacteroidota; Saprospiria; Saprospirales; Saprospiraceae.
GGCUUCGUAGUUCAAUGGAUAGAAUACCUGAAUUCGGAUCAGGUGGUAGGGGUUCGAUUCCCUUCGAAGCUA